RNAcentral lists this ribosomal RNA (433 nucleotides) under uncultured bacterium. Its description in RNAcentral is "partial 16S ribosomal RNA". It matches the Rfam family "Bacterial small subunit ribosomal RNA", at positions 29 to 507 of the family's 1533-position model. The record is from RNAcentral.
AACGAACGCUGGCGGCAUGCCUAACACAUGCAAGUCGAACGAGACCUUCGGGUCUAGUGGCGCACGGGUGCGUAACGCGUGGGAACCUGCCCUUAGGUUCGGAAUAACUCCCCGAAAGGGGUGCUAAUACCGGAUAAUGUCUUCGGACCAAAGAUUUAUCGCCUUUGGAUGGUCCCGCGUUGGAUUAGCUAGUUGGUAGGGUAAAAGCCUACCAAGGCGACGAUCCAUAGCUGGUCUGAGAGGAUGAUCAGCCACACUGGGACUGAGACACGGCCCAGACUCCUACGCGAGGCAGCAGUGGGGAAUAUUGGACAGUGGGCGAAAGCCUGAUGCAGCAAUGCCGCGUGAGUGAUGAAGGCCUGAGGGUUGUAAAGCUCUUUUAACCGGGAUGAUAAUGACAGUACCGGAAGAAUAAGCUCCGGCUAACUCCGUG